This 3267-nucleotide long non-coding RNA is filed under the name Sus scrofa (pig). RNAcentral's name for it is "lncRNA (ENSSSCG00015021107.1)". The record is from RNAcentral. Lineage: Eukaryota; Metazoa; Chordata; Mammalia; Artiodactyla; Suidae.
AGCUAUUCAGCUGUUGAAAAUUUUGACAUAGAGUGAGAGUUCCCAGACUUCUCUCUGGAAUAAAUGUCUUAAGAUCAUUAAUUCAAAAGAUGAUAGGAGUUCCCACUGUGGCACAGUGGGUUAAUGAUCCAGUUUUGCCAUUGCCACAGAUGUGGCAUAGGUCAAAGAUGCGGCUUGGAUUCUUCCAUCCCUGGCCUGGGAACUUCCAUAUGCCACGGGUGCAGCCAAAAACUGGAAAUAAGAAAUAGUAUUGAUCUGAAUCUAGCAGUUCCUGGUGUGUGUGUGUGUGUGUGUGUGUGUGUAAUUCAUCUCCUUGUUUUAUAAUCAGAUAUUAUACUAGAUGUGGCAUUUGAAUUGUGUUUAAACUAGAUGAUUUUCCUGAAUCUUUAAAUAAAUGUAUUUUGAUUCAUUGUUGACUUUCACUCCCCCAAAUUAUAAUUGCUGCUGUUUUUGACUUCAUGGCCUUUCCCACAGUUUGUCAUCCUCGAGAAAUCUACUGACUUUUCCAAGGGGGUGGCAUUUCAGCAAUGUUUUGUGCUGCUCCCCAUCCCUCUGCGCCUCUCCAGUCUGUCAUGUGCUCUCAUCACCUUGCACCUACCUCUCUCACAGCAUCUGCAAGUUACAUCAUGUUCCGUCUUUACUGUGUGUGUGCUUGAGGAGCUGGUGCCUUGAGAGCUGGCACUGUUGUGCAUAUCAUUUCAUACCCAGCUAGACACUGUAUGUUAAACACAUGAUUGGAUACAAUGGUGGGGAAAACUGCAGAGAGAGCCUGGGCCUUUAAUUGGGUGAGCCUUGGUCACCAGCCGCNUUGCUUUUUUUAAGGGAACAUAUUGUGACAUUUCGCUGUUAUUUUAUUUUAUUUUUUUCCUUUUAAUAGCCGCACCUGAGGUAUUUGGAAGUUUCUGGGCUGGGAUUGAAUUGGAGAUGCAGCUGAGGCCUACACCACAGCCAUGGCAACACCAGAUCCAAGCCUCAUCUGUGACCUAAACCACAGUUUAUGGCAAUGCUGGAUCCUUAACCCACUGAGGCAGGCCAGGGAUCAAACCCGAAUCCUCAAAGAGACAACUUUGGGUCCUUAGCCUGGCUGAGUCACAACGGAAACUGUUUGCUAUUACUAACUAUACAUUUUUUCCCCCUUUUUUUGGCUGCACCAGGGGCCUGGGGAGGUUUCCAGGCCAGGGAUCGAGUUUGUGCCACAGCAGUGACUCGAGCCACUACAGUGACAAUGCUGGAUCCUUAACCUGCUGAGCCACAAGAGAAUUCCAACUGUACCUUAUUUUUAAUACCUGCAUAGUAUUUCUAAUACCUGUGUAAUACCUGUGUAUUCCACUGCAGGGAAAUAUAUGUUACUUAAUCCCCUUAUUAUUGGACAUGUAUCUCUCUUACCCGCCUCUUCCCCCUCUUUCCGCUUCCUCUCCUCCUCCUCCUCCUUGUUCUUUCUUCUUCCUAUUUUAAACACCUGCUCAGUACACAUAUUUGCACAUGCAUCUUCUUAUACUUGACUGUUAUUUCCCAAGAAUGAAUUGUCAGAAGUAGAAUCCCUGAGUCGCCAGUAGCCAGCCUCAUUUUUAAAGGAGGUUUUUGGUGUAUGUUACCUAAGUGCCCUCCAGAGGUGUUUUACCAACAUAUAUUAAUUCCAGUGAUGUAGGCGAGUUCCAUGAAAGGUGUUCUUAAAACACAUACAAGUAUGUGACUGUGUGACUUGGUUGGGUUUCUUUUUUUUUUCCCUUCUAGAGCAGGUUGCUUUUUCUUAAGUCUUGAAUAUUCUGCCUAAGAUCUCGUUCAGCCUGUUAAGCCUAUUAGUGGUUCUACCUGGGUAAAUUAAUAGUCAUCAUAUAUCCAUGCUUGUUUGAACAAAAUGCUCAAGCAUCCAAACUAUGAGUAGCCAGUCUUGCAGCAUUCAUGAGUGACUCACUUGUUUGUUUGAAAUGAGAAAGGAUGGGAGGAGGCAAGUCAAUUGACUAUGAAUCUUCUUUAAAGGAACCUUAAUAUCGUCUGUAAGACCAAGGAUUAUCCCCAGCUGCAGUCCUGAGGGGAUGGAGUGUAGCACAUCAAAUCAUUUAUGUUGUCAUAAAAUCCCAAACUAUGACGUAACUAGCAGAUAAAAGUAAUGCUUUCCCAAAGACCAGGAUGACAACAUCUCAGUAUCUUAUAUGUGUUUCUGGCAAGCAAUGUUAAAAGAAUAAUAGUGUAGCUUCAAGUUGAAUUGAAUUCUCACAUGGAUUACAGUUAAACUACUCUUGUAAUAUUAGUGAUAAUCUAGAAAACUUUUAGAACAGAAAAAAAUUCUAUAAAGGCUAUGGUAGUUACUCCAGUUUUUGUUGUUGUUCAUAAAGCUACAUUAUUUAACGUAAAGGAAUAUUAUUCUAAGAUCAGUUUUUGAAAAUGUUUAUUGUAGGAAUAUAUUUGUUUUCUCAUUGAAAUUAUUCAAGACUCUUUCUUUUACUUAGAUUAAAUUCUUUCUCCGCGAAGCUCAGGGACAUUCUAGAAACUUCACAUUUCUAGCCAGAAAAUUAAGACAUGGUUUUAUAAGAUCAGUCCUAGUGUUUCUUAUCUCUGUUUGCUGCAAUUAACAAAUAUAAUAAAAGAUUAAUCUGUGAUAUGAGAAAUGAAAUUUAAAUUUUCUGGUAUUUAACUGUUUUUACUUUUUGAUUAAACAUCAUUAAACAAUUAUUGGAAUUUUGAAAAUACAUGGAAAAUAAACUUAUCCAUGUAAGUUUAAAGUAGCUCCCAUGGUAUUUAUAAAUUAAGGGGGUAUGUGGAACUGAAUAAAUAGGCCUCUCUGUGCCUUUGGUUAGGGAUCUAUAUUUUUCUUUCCCAGAGUUCAAGGAAGAAGUACUUUUAUAAAGAAAGAUUUCUGCAGGAGCUCCUGAGGUGGCUCAGUGGUUAACGAACCUGACUAGUAUCCAUGAGGACGUGGGUUUGAUCCCUGGCCUUACUCAGUGGGUUAAGAAUCCGACAUGGGGAGUUCCCGUAGUGGUGCAGUGGUUAACGAAUCCGACUAGGAACCAUGAGGUUGCAGGUUCGAUCCCAGCCUUGCUCAGUGGGUUAAGGAUCUGGCGUUGCCGUGGGCGGUGGUGUAGGUUGCAGACGCGGCACGGAUCCUGCGUUGCUGUGGCUCUAGCGUAGGCCGGUGGCUACAGCUCCGAUUCAACCCCUAGCCUGGGAACCUCCAUAUGCCUCCACAGUGGCCCAAGAAAUGGCCAGUUCAGAUUCAACCCCUAGCCAUGUGUCGCAUGUGUGGCCCUAAAAAGACAAAAAAAAAAA